Pelobates cultripes (western spadefoot toad) is the source of this 1162-nucleotide non-coding RNA. Lineage: Eukaryota; Metazoa; Chordata; Amphibia; Anura; Pelobatidae. The record is from the annotation of a GenBank genome assembly.
CCCAUCACUCCCACCGUGCCUAGCUCUGGACCACCAUCACUCCCACCGUGCCUAGCUCUGGACCACCAUCACUCCCACCGUGCCUAGCUCUGGACCACCAUCACUCCCACCGUGCCUAGCUCUGGACCACCAUCACUCCCACCGUGCCUAGCUCUGGACCACCAUCACUCCCACCGUGCCUAGCUCUGGACCACCAUCAUUCCCACCGUGCCUAGCUCUGGACCACCAUCAUUCCCACCGUGCCUAGCUCUGGACCACCAUCAUUCCCACCGUGCCUAGCUCUGGACCACCAUCAUUCCCACCGUGCCUAGCUCUGGACCACCAUCACUCCCACCGUGCCUAGCUCUGACCACCAUCACUCCCACCGGGCCUAGCUCUGACCACCAUCACUCCCACCGGGCCUAGCUCUGACCACCAUCACUCCCACCGGGCCUAGCUCUGACCAUCACUCUCAUCAUGCCUAAAUCUGACCACCAACAAUCUCGCUAUACUGCACAUAGCUUUACAAACCUACCAAAACAUGUGGCUUACCAAGCCCUAAAGCAGCCCACCACCACUUUGUGCAACUAACCCAUAGCAUUUGGAGUCCUGACCCCUUUUGUAUUACAUCUAGCUUUACAACCCCUCACUGUGUGCUUAUCCUCAGAUACCUCUUCCCCAACAGUAAGCCAAAUCAAACUCUUAUCCCCUGUGUCAUUCAUAGCCAAAAAACCUCUGCCCUGAACCUUCCAAGGUCACUUGUAGAUAAAACCUACAUGGUGCAACUUACAGCUCAGAGUACAUGUACAACCCUGUGUCACAAAGACUCCUAUAACUCCCCCAGUCUGUCCAUCCAUGACGCACCUAAUCAGAAACUUAAGCCAUAAGCUCACACAAUGAUAUAGCUAACUGGACGUCUCUCCACACUGCACCUAACCUCAAAACACCAAACUCCUAGCUUCCAACCAACACUAAAAACCAACCACCAGCCACAAUCGUAGGACACAACCAGUCACUUGUAUAUAUAUAUAAAAAGACGGACAGCAUGAGGCACUGUUUACAACAGCCAGCAGUGGUAUCAUGGUGACUAAAGUAUAAGUACCCUCAAUAUUAUCCGGCAGGGGGAGCUGUGCACAUAAAUUUUCCCAGUACAGCAGCCAGCAGGGGGAGCUGUGGAGUUACU